UCUGUGCUGCUCCCACCCUGGCCUGUGAGACGUUCCCUUGGAGCCACUUGCUUUGUCCCGCUACCCGCGAAAUCAUUCGGCCCGUCUCAACCGUGUCGGGCUGCAGAGAGGGCUGCGAUGGGAGUGGGAGGCUUUGGCCCCGUGGCCACGGCCUUGGGGUGUCUGUCUGUGGGUGUUUAGGGUUGCCAACCCUCCAGGAUUGGCCUGGAGUCUCCCACAAUCGGCAUCAAUCUCUUGGUGACUAUUGAAAGCAACCCGGGAGGUUUUAAUAGGCUGUUUUAAGAACAUGACAUGACGUCAUGUUGGGAAAAAAUAUCUCCCGGAAUAGCUUCAGUCCGAGUUGGCAACCCUAUGGGUGUUUGUUUUUCUGAUCCUGAGUCCAUCCCUUCUACCUAGGGCGAAGUACGAGUUCCUCCCGAGCAUGCAGAGCGCUGAGGACUUGGUGUCACAAGUGGACUGUCUGUCCGGCAACAUCGACCUACUGAAAUCCAGGAUCGAAAAUGAGGUCCGGCGAGAUCUGAACGUGGCCAUUGUGGAAUUUACUGAACUGAAGCAGCAGCUGGAGCGAGACUCGUUGGUUCUGAGUGUGCUGAAACAGCUGCAAGAGAGCCACUAGGAGCAAAGCAAGGGACAGGCUGAAGGAGCAGAGCCAUCCCCAGGGUGACAUGCCAGGCAAAGAAGAGUCCAGGACAAAUGUAUCCCCACUACGCAGCUUUGUCCCAGUUAAUAUGUAGUUACAGUGGCUCGGCAUGAGUUGAAAAGACGGAGGGAGCCGUCAAACCUGCCUGUUGCCAAGGCCUCUAAGGAGGCAUCUCCAGCAGCCCAGGUGUGUUCUCUGGUGUAGCGUGAGGGGCAGCCUCGCUGCUUUUGCCUGUUGCAGCUGAUCCAUAUUAAACAACUAGUGUUUGGGCAAAGGCUGCUACAGUCCUCCUGCUCUCGUGCAAUGGAUUAGCCCCAUGCUUGGGCUGUGCGUAAGGGGCGUUCAAAUCUCCCCUCGGCUUGUGUUAAGAAGGACGUUGGAUGGAUGUCAAAUGGAAUCUUCCUGCGCGUCCCCUGAGCUAUGGGGGGUUUCAUCUCUCUUGCCGGUGG
RNA transcript from Chrysemys picta bellii (western painted turtle), 1089 nucleotides. It is a transcript of the gene named centromere/kinetochore protein zw10 homolog, with no coding region annotated. The record is from RefSeq and is a predicted model, not a curated record. NCBI's taxonomy places the organism in Eukaryota, Metazoa, Chordata, Testudines, Emydidae.